AACGCACAUUGCGCCCCUUGGUAUUCCGAGGGGCAUGCCUGUUCGAGCGUCAUUUCAACCCCUCAAGCCCUGGCUUGGUGUUGGGCCGCGCCAGCAUGCUGGCGGGCCUUAAAAUCAGUGGCGGUGCCGCUGGGGCUCUAAGCGUAGUAGCACAUCUCGCUCUGGAGACCUGGCGGUUGCUUGCCAGACAACCUUCACUAAAACACAAAGGUUUGACCUCGGAUCAGGUAGGGAUACCCGCUGAACUUAA
Molecule: unclassified non-coding RNA, 250 nt
Filed under: uncultured Helotiales
Lineage: Eukaryota; Fungi; Ascomycota; Leotiomycetes; Helotiales
Description: sequence contains 5.8S rRNA gene, ITS2, 28S rRNA gene
Rfam family: 5.8S ribosomal RNA (bases 1-52)
Source: RNAcentral